GUCGAGCGAGCUUGCCUAGAUGAUUUUAGUGCUUGCACUAAAUGAAACUAGAUACAAGCGAGCGGCGGACGGGUGAGUAACACGUGGGUAACCUGCCCAAGAGACUGGGAUAACACCUGGAAACAGAUGCUAAUACCGGAUAACAACACUAGACGCAUGUCUAGAGUUUGAAAGAUGGUUCUGCUAUCACUCUUGGAUGGACCUGCGGUGCAUUAGCUAGUUGGUAAGGUAACGGCUUACCAAGGCAAUGAUGCAUAGCCGAGUUGAGAGACUGAUCGGCCACAUUGGGACUGAGACACGGCCCAAACUCCUACGGGAGGCAGCAGUAGGGAAUCUUCCACAAUGGACGAAAGUCUGAUGGAGCAACGCCGCGUGAGUGAAGAAGGGUUUCGGCUCGUAAAGCUCUGUUGGUAGUGAAGAAAGAUAGAGGUAGUAACUGGCCUUUAUUUGACGGUAAUUACUUAGAAAGUCACGGCUAACUACGUGCCAGCAGCCGCGGUAAUACGUAGGUGGCAAGCGUUGUCCGGAUUUAUUGGGCGUAAAGCGAGUGCAGGCGGUUCAAUAAGUCUGAUGUGAAAGCCUUCGGCUCAACCGGAGAAUUGCAUCAGAAACUGUUGAACUUGAGUGCAGAAGAGGAGAGUGGAACUCCAUGUGUAGCGGUGGAAUGCGUAGAUAUAUGGAAGAACACCAGUGGCGAAGGCGGCUCUCUGGUCUGCAACUGACGCUGAGGCUCGAAAGCAUGGGUAGCGAACAGGAUUAGAUACCCUGGUAGUCCAUGCCGUAAACGAU
Molecule: ribosomal RNA, 789 nt
Filed under: uncultured bacterium
Lineage: Bacteria
Description: bacterial SSU rRNA
Rfam family: Bacterial small subunit ribosomal RNA
Source: RNAcentral